UCGGACGGGUUGGUAACGCGUGAGAAUCUGCCUUCAGGACGGGGACAACAGUUGGAAACGACUGCUAAUACCCGAUGAGCCGAGAGGUAAAAAGGUGAAUUCCGCCUGGAGAGGAGCUCGCGUCCGAUUAGCUAGUUGGUGGGGUAAAAGCUUACCAAGGCGACGAUCGGUAGCUGGUCUGAGAGGAUGAGCAGCCACACUGGAACUGAGACACGGUCCAGACUCCUACGGGAGGCAGCAGUGGGGAAUUUUCCGCAAUGGGCGAAAGCCUGACGGAGCAACGCCGCGUGGGGGAAGAAGGUUUUUGGAUUGUAAACCCCUUUUCUCAGGGAAGAAGAUCUGACGGUACCUGAGGAAUCAGCCUCGGCUAACUCCGUGCCAGCAGCCGCGGUAAUACGGAGGAGGCAAGCGUUAUCCGGAAUCAUUGGGCGUAAAGCGUUCGUAGGCGGCUGUUCAAGUCUGCUGUCAAAGACCGAGGCUCAACCUCGGGUCGGCAGUGGAAACUGGAUAGCUAGAGGUCGGUAGGGGCAAAGGGAAUUCCCAGUGUAGCGGUGAAAUGCGUAGAUAUUGGGAAGAACACCGGUGGCGAAAGCGCUUGCUGACC
This 604-nucleotide ribosomal RNA is filed under the name Geitlerinema sp. LEGE 11393. RNAcentral's name for it is "bacterial SSU rRNA". It matches the Rfam family "Bacterial small subunit ribosomal RNA", at positions 98 to 735 of the family's 1533-position model. The record is from RNAcentral. Lineage: Bacteria; Bacillati; Cyanobacteriota; Cyanophyceae; Geitlerinematales; Geitlerinemataceae.